RNAcentral lists this ribosomal RNA (475 nucleotides) under uncultured organism. Its description in RNAcentral is "partial 16S ribosomal RNA". It matches the Rfam family "Bacterial small subunit ribosomal RNA", at positions 331 to 797 of the family's 1533-position model. The record is from RNAcentral.
GUACACUCCUACGGGAGGCAGCAGUGGGGAAUUUUGGACAAUGGGCGAAAGCCUGAUCCAGCAAUGCCGCGUGUGUGAAGAAGGCCUUCGGGUUGUAAAGCACUUUUGUCCGGAAAGAAAUCCUUGGCUCUAAUACAGUCGAGGGAUGACGGUACCGGAAGAAUAAGCACCGGCUAACUACGUGCCAGCAGCCGCGGUAAUACGUAGGGUGCGAGCGUUAAUCGGAAUUACUGGGCGUAAAGCGUGCGCAGGCGGUUUGCUAAGACCGAUGUGAAAUCCCCGGGCUCAACCUGGGAACUGCAUUGGUGACUGGCAGGCUAGAGUAUGGCAGAGGGGGGUAGAAUUCCACGUGUAGCAGUGAAAUGCGUAGAGAUGUGGAGGAAUACCGAUGGCGAAGGCAGCCCCCUGGGCCAAUACUGACGCUCAUGCACGAAAGCGUGGGGAGCAAACAGGAUUAGAAACCCUGGUAGUCCCA